RNAcentral lists this ribosomal RNA (253 nucleotides) under uncultured bacterium. Its description in RNAcentral is "partial 16S ribosomal RNA". It matches the Rfam family "Bacterial small subunit ribosomal RNA", at positions 524 to 776 of the family's 1533-position model. The record is from RNAcentral.
AACGUAGGAGGCAAGCGUUAUCCGGAUUUACUGGGCGUAAAGCGUGUGCAGGCGGUUUCAUAAGUUGUGCGUGAAAGCUUCAGGCUAAACCUGAAGAGGCCGUGCAAGACUGUGAAACUAGAAUCCAUCAGAGGCAAGCAGAAUUCCAGGUGUAGUGGUGAAAUGCGUAGAGAUCUGGAGGAAUACCAGAGGCGAAGGCGGCUCUCUGGACCAGCACUGACACUGAGGCACGAAAGCGUGGGGAGCAAACAGG